Molecule: long non-coding RNA, 686 nt
Organism: Dromaius novaehollandiae (emu)
Lineage: Eukaryota; Metazoa; Chordata; Aves; Casuariiformes; Dromaiidae
Exons: 3
Source: RefSeq, a predicted model, not a curated record
GACUAAUACUGUCAUUCAUCUCAUGAUCUCUCCAGUCAGACCCGGCACCAGCUUCAUUGCACUCUAAGGAGCUGCUGAUGAAAAAUUACAACCUUCAGAGAAGGAAUAAGUGAAUACCAAAUCUUUGAGAGAACCAUUUCAAUUUGGGUGUUAUCUAAAACUACUACUAGUAGCAGCAGUUCUGUAAUUAUAGUCCAGCUUGCUUUGAUUGACUUACCAAAGGUAAAUAGACGUCUCAGGCACAUCCAGUCCUCAUACAGCAUGCAGCAGAACUUGCCUCAAAUUUAGGUAGCUCUUCUGAUAUGCACUGUUAAAUAUUGAAAGUGUGAAGGCUACAUUGGAUGAUGGGAGAGGGAUUUGCUGCCUUAAUUCAACAGAUACUGAUUAGCCUAAAAAUAUGAACUUAAGACAAAACCAAAAGGAAUUGGGAGGAAAACUGGAUAAUCAGGAUCUCCUAAUAUUGUGGCAUGUGUAUGGAUUGAAUAACAAGUUUGGUAAUUUCUGGAACUAUGUAGAAAAAUUGACACUGAGGUUUACCCAGUGAACCAUUAUUAUUAUUAAUUCAUGAUUAGCUGUGAUAAUAUGUUUAGUGCUGUAAACAGUACAGAAAAUAGAGACAAUUCAUUUCCAGAGGUUAUAGCCAUAAUGUGUAAUUUUUAUUAAAUCAUUAAUUGUCAAGUGUCUGA